This is a non-coding RNA of Pelodiscus sinensis (Chinese soft-shelled turtle), 2127 nucleotides long. The record is from the annotation of a RefSeq genome assembly. NCBI's taxonomy places the organism in Eukaryota, Metazoa, Chordata, Testudines, Trionychidae.
AUGACCAGCCAUGUGGGACGCACAGACCCCUCCAUCUUCCCGCUGGUUCCCUGCUGCAGCAAGACUGGGAACGAUCCCAGGGGCAUGAGCUUGGCCUGCCUGGUGACUGACUACUCACCACCGUCAGCGAAAAUCCAGUGGAAUUCCGGCAGAGUGACCGCGGGGGUCCGGGAUUUCCCAGAGACGCUGACUAGUAAAGGGCUUUAUACCCGGACCAGUCUGCUCACCAUCCCUGAUGGGCCCCAGAAGAGCGACAGCUACCGGUGUGAUGUCACAUAUGCAGGAUCCAGACAGACAGUGUCCAAGAUGUUCCCGCAGAAAUCAUGCGGUUCGAUGAUGCCACCCCAGGUUCGCCUCCUGGUCCCCUCCUGUGAGGACAGCUGCACAGAGAGCCAGCUGGAGCUGGUUUGCCUUCUCCUGACCUUUCGCCCUAGCAAUGCUGAGGUGAAAUGGCUGGUGAAUGGAAAAGCAACGAGUCUCCCCACCCCGGCCUUCUCCUCUUCAUUGGGCACCGAUGGCGCCUACAUGGGCCAGAGCUCCUUGAAGGUCUCCAGGCAGAGCUGGGAGAACGGGGACGUCUUCUCUUGCCAAGUCACCCAUCCAGCAUGGGGAACGGAGCCCUCCAUGCACAACACCAGCAAAUGCUUGGCCUGUCCCAAAAGUGCCCUUGAGCCAAACAUCUACUUGACGAAACCCGCCUAUGAAGAAGUGAUCAAGAAUUCUGGCCGUGUGUCCUGUCUAGUUUUGGGUUACGAUUCUGUAGCCACUGCAAUCAUCUGGGAGGUGGACGGACGGGUCAGUUCUGCGGGGAAGACAGAAGCUCCCAAGAAGAACAUCAAUGGAACCACCAGCCUGGUCAGCUCCCACCCAGUGUCACGGGCACAGUGGGGACAAGGCACCAGAUUUGCCUGCAAAGUGAGCACGCUCUGUUCUGGAGAACUCACCGAGGAGAUAACCAUGGUCAAUAAAGGUAUCAGCAAGAAGGAGCCUUCCAUCACCGUCUCAAGAGCUUACCAUGAAGACCUCUCAGGGUUGUCUUUGACUCUCAUCUGCGAAGCUAGUGGCUUUUCCCCUGAAGACAUCAGCAUCUCUUGGUUGAAGAACAACUCCCCGGUCCUCAGGUCCAGUUACAACAAUGGCCCUGCGUCAGGAAGUGGUACGUUCUCGGCCUACAGCAUCCUGAAGGUUGAUCUAAGUGAAGGAGCAGAAAAUUGCACCUGCGUGGUGAAUCACCCAGCCUUGAGCAAGCCCAAGACUGUUGUGGAAAAGAUCUUCUUUGGUGGCAGCGACUGUAAUCAAACACCUAUGGAGGUCUUCCUCCUCCCCCCAUCCCUGGAAGAGCUCUACGUCAUGCAGAACGCCACCAUCACCUGUCUGGUGAGUGGCAUGGAGAACCCCAGCAGCCUGGAGAUCUCCUGGAGCAGGGGAAACGGAGGCCCAUUGACUGUGGACUCCAAGGAGCCAGUGCUGCAUCCAAAUGGCACUUACAGUGCAGCCAGUAUCCUGCGGGUGUGUGUGGAGGAGUGGCAGGCCGGGGAGGAGUUCACCUGCACCGUGAAGCACCAAGAUAUCCCUUUGGUCAUUGUGAAGAGGAUCCACAAAAAUCUCGAGAUCUCUUUACGGCCCCCUUCUGUUUACGUCUCUCCUCCUCAUGUGGACGAGCUGGCUCUCCAGGAAUGGGCCACCAUCACCUGCCUGGCCUCCGGCUUCCAGCCCAAAGACAUCUUGGUCACAUGGACCCAGAAGGACCGCCCCAUUCCACAGGAUGCCUACAUCCACAUCGGCCCCAUGCGGGAGGCUGGGGAGGAGGAGAGCUACUUCAUCUACAGCAAGCUCAGAAUCCAGGCCUCUGAAUGGCAGAAGGGGGACACCUACUCCUGCAUGGUGGGGCAUGAAGGCCUGCCCAAGAUCUUCACCCAACAGAGUGUGGACAAAGCCUCCACUCCUCUCUGCCUGGUGGAGGACCAAGGGGUCUGUGCUGAAGAAGGAGAGGGGGAAUCGGACCGUCUCUGGACUCCCGUUAUCUUCAUCGCGCUGUUCCUGCUCAGCCUGGUGUACAGCACCGGUGUCACGCUGCUGAAGGUGAAAGCCACCGUCGCCUGCCCGGUCGCACUUCAGAGCCUAUAG